RNAcentral lists this long non-coding RNA (268 nucleotides) under Gossypium raimondii (Peruvian cotton). RNAcentral's name for it is "long non-coding RNA (GRAI_LNC002505)". The record is from RNAcentral. Lineage: Eukaryota; Viridiplantae; Streptophyta; Magnoliopsida; Malvales; Malvaceae.
GAAAAUGAAGAAACCUUCCAUGGCUUUUUAAAGUUUCGGCACUUCCAUAGCAAAAUUAAGAUCAAGAACGAAGAAAACGGAAUUGGAUCAGGGGAAAACGAAAGUAGUCGAGUAAUCGAUCGUGUCCGCCGAUAUCCGAGAUUUUGAGGUGGUUACGAGUUCGGGAUCGUCAGUAAAGUUUAUCACACUAUUGGAUAAUUACAAUCAAGAACGAAGAAAACGGAAUUGUAUCGGGGGAAAACGAAAGUAGUCGAGUAAUCGAUCGUGU